UACGGGGGGGGCAAGCGUUGUUCGGAAUUACUGGGCGUAAAGGGCUCGUAGGCGGCCAACUAAGUCAGACGUGAAAUCCCUCAGCUUAACUGAGGAACUGCGUCUGAUACUGGAUGGCUUGAGGUUGGGAGAGGGAUGCGGAAUUCCAGGUGUAGCGGUGAAAUGCGUAGAUAUCUGGAGGAACACCGGUGGCGAAGGCGGCAUCCUGGACCAAUUCUGACGCUGAGGAGCGAAAGCCAGGGGAGCAAACGGG
This 253-nucleotide ribosomal RNA is filed under the name uncultured bacterium. Its description in RNAcentral is "partial 16S ribosomal RNA". It matches the Rfam family "Bacterial small subunit ribosomal RNA", at positions 524 to 776 of the family's 1533-position model. The record is from RNAcentral.